UGGCCUCCGCAUAUGUGAAGUUGCCUGUGU
This 30-nucleotide non-coding RNA is filed under the name Mus musculus (house mouse). The record is from RNAcentral. Lineage: Eukaryota; Metazoa; Chordata; Mammalia; Rodentia; Muridae.